This 497-nucleotide ribosomal RNA is filed under the name uncultured bacterium. RNAcentral's name for it is "partial 16S ribosomal RNA". It matches the Rfam family "Bacterial small subunit ribosomal RNA", at positions 28 to 507 of the family's 1533-position model. The record is from RNAcentral.
GAUGAACGCUGGCGGCGUGCCUAAUACAUGCAAGUCGAGCGAACAGACGAGGAGCUUGCUCCUUUGACGUUAGCGGCGGACGGGUGAGUAACACGUAGGUAACCUACCUAUAAGACUGGGAUAACUUCGGGAAACCGGAGCUAAUACCGGAUAAUAUUUCGAACCGCAUGGUUCGAUAGUGAAAGAUGGCUUUGCUAUCACUUAUAGAUGGACCUGCGCCGUAUUAGCUAGUUGGUAAGGUAACGGCUUACCAAGGCAACGAUACGUAGCCGACCUGAGAGGGUGAUCGGCCACACUGGAACUGAGACACGGCCCAGACUCCUACGGGAGGCAGCAGUAGGGAAUCUUCCGCAAUGGGCGAAAGCCUGACGGAGCAACGCCGCGUGAGUGAUGAAGGUCUUCGGAUCGUAAAACUCUGUUAUUAGGGAAGAACAAACGUGUAAGUAACUGUGCACGUCUUGACGGUACCUAAUCAGAAGGCCACGGCUAACUACGUG